CACGCCGUAAACGAUGUCUAUUUGGAGGUUGUGCCCUUGAGGCGUGGCUUCCGGAGCUAACGCGUUAAAUAGACCGCCUGGGGAGUACGGCCGCAAGGUUAAAACUCAAAUGAAUUGACGGGGGCCCGCACAAGCGGUGGAGCAUGUGGUUUAAUUCGAUGCAACGCGAAGAACCUUACCUGGUCUUGACAUCCACAGAACUUGGCAGAGAUGCCUUGGUGCCUUCGGGAACUGUGAGACAGGUGC
RNAcentral lists this ribosomal RNA (246 nucleotides) under uncultured bacterium. Its description in RNAcentral is "partial 16S ribosomal RNA". It matches the Rfam family "Bacterial small subunit ribosomal RNA", at positions 796 to 1041 of the family's 1533-position model. The record is from RNAcentral.